AUAUUUUCACAUGAAAAUUGUCGCUAUAGAUCCUAUAGCGAUGGUUAUAGCGACAGUUUUAACGGUCGCUAUACAUCUAUAGCGACACUUUUCAUGUGUAAAUAU
RNAcentral lists this microRNA precursor (105 nucleotides) under Panax ginseng (ginseng). RNAcentral's name for it is "miR6137b stem-loop (pgi-MIR6137b)". The record is from miRBase by way of RNAcentral. Lineage: Eukaryota; Viridiplantae; Streptophyta; Magnoliopsida; Apiales; Araliaceae.